RNAcentral lists this ribosomal RNA (361 nucleotides) under uncultured bacterium. Its description in RNAcentral is "partial 16S ribosomal RNA". It matches the Rfam family "Bacterial small subunit ribosomal RNA", at positions 338 to 696 of the family's 1533-position model. The record is from RNAcentral.
CCUACGGGUGGCAGCAGUAGGGAAUAUUGGUCAAUGGGCGCGAGCCUGAUCCAGCCAAGUCGCGUGAAGGAUGAAUGCCCUACGGGCUGUAAACUUCUUUUAUAAAGGAAUAAAGUGAGGCACGUGUGUCUUUUUGUAUGUACUUUAUCUAUAAGGAUCGGCUAACUACGUGCCAGCAGCCGCGGCAAUACGGAGGAUCCGAGCGUUAUCCGGAUUUAUUGGGUUGAAAGGGAGCGUAGAUGGGUUGUUAAGUCAGUUGUGAUAGUGUGAGGCUCAACCGUAAAAGUGCAAUUGAUACUGGCAGUCUUGAGUGCAGUUGAGGUAGGCGGAAUUCGAGGUGUAGCGGUGAAAUGCUUAGAUA